AAAAAGUUUUAUUCUAGCUUAAGAAUUAGAUAUUAUUUUUAAUUUAUAUGUAAAGUUUAAUAAAAAUGCCUUAUUUUUUUAAAUAAAAAUAAGGUCUUAAGAAUCGCAGUAAAUAAUUUUAAAUAUUAAAGAAAUUUAGAAUUAGAAAUAAUAUUAAGUAUUGACAAUAUUUGUGCCAGCAGUUGCGGUUAGACAAAUAAUAUGAUUUAAUUUUUUUAGAUAUAAUUAUUUUAAAUAUAUAAAAUUAUAAAUUUAAUAAAAUUAGGUGAAAUUUUUUUAUUAAAAAAGAAUUAUUGUAAGUUUAAGAAGUUAAAAAAUUUUUAAAUUAAACUAGGAAUUAGAUACCCUAUUAUUAAUUAUUUAAAUUAUUAUUCUAAAUUAGUAUUAGCUAUGUUCUUGAAAAUUAAAGAUUUUGGCGGUAUUUUAGUCUAUUCAGAGGAAUCUGUUCUGUUAUUGAUAUUCCACGAUUAAAUUUACUUAUAUUAAUUAGUUUGUAUAUCGUUGUAGUAGGAUAUUUUAAAAGAAGUUAAUAUACAAAAUUUUUAAUUAAAAAAGAAAUCAGAUCAAGGUGCAGUUUAUAUAUAAGAAGAAAUGGAUUACAAUAAAUUUAUAUUUAUGGAUAUUAAUUUUAAAAAUUAGUUGAAACUGGAUUUGAUAGUAAUUUUUUUAUAAUAAAAAAAUGAUUUAAGCUCUAAAAUAUGCACAUAUCGCCCGUCGCUUUCAUAUAAAAUGAAAUAAGUCGUAACAAAGUAGGCUUACUGGAAGGUGUGCCUAGAAAGAU
Molecule: non-coding RNA, 781 nt
Filed under: Cryptolestes turcicus
Lineage: Eukaryota; Metazoa; Arthropoda; Insecta; Coleoptera; Laemophloeidae
Source: RNAcentral